RNAcentral lists this ribosomal RNA (460 nucleotides) under uncultured bacterium. RNAcentral's name for it is "partial 16S ribosomal RNA". It matches the Rfam family "Bacterial small subunit ribosomal RNA", at positions 338 to 795 of the family's 1533-position model. The record is from RNAcentral.
CCUACGGGAGGCAGCAGUGAGGAAUAUUGGUCAAUGGGCUUACGCCUGAACCAGCCAAGUCGCGUGAGGGAAGACUGCCCUAUGGGUUGUAAACCUCUUUUGUCAGGGAGCAACGCCGGCUACGUGUAGCCGGACUGAGAGUACCUGAAGAAAAAGCAUCGGCUAACUCCGUGCCAGCAGCCGCGGUAAUACGGAGGAUGCGAGCGUUAUCCGGAUUUAUGGGGUUUAAAGGGUGCGUAGGCGGAAUGCCAAGUCAGCGGUAAAAUCGCGGGGCUCAACCUCGCUCCGCCGUUGAAACUGGCGUUCUUGAGGGGGCGAGAGGUAUGCGGAAUGCGUGGGGUAGCGGUGAAAUGCAUAGAUAUCACGCAGAACUCCGAUUGCGAAGGCAGCAUACCGGCGCCCAACUGACGCUGAAGCACGAAAGCGUGGGUAUCGAACAGGAUUAGAUACCCGAGUAGUC